UCCCCUAUAUAUAUAUAUAGUUAUGUACAUUCUCCAACGCUGCAAAUUAAGACGAGUUGCAGAAUUGAAUUUCACAUCUCCAUCAAACCUUUUGCUUCUCUUCUGUACAAACUACUACGAAAACACUCUCUACUUUUCUUGAAUUCUCCUAUGUGAAAAAGUCGUCUACCUGUUUCCUCAGUUCAUAGUUUUUGCAUUUCUUCAAUUAAGUACCCGCUUCAGAUUAAUUUUGUCUGUGUUCGAAUAAUUAAUGGGAAGUGAGCAAAAGGAGGGUGGUGGAAAGGGCAAUGAUGAGUCGAAGAAGAGAAAGCGGAGGAGGCAGAAGAGACUGUCUCCGGUUCAAAGGCUUUACGAUUCUUGCAAGCAAGUGUUUGCCGAUUGUGGCCCUGACAUUGUUCCAUCACCCCACAAAGUCCAAAUGCUUGCCGCUGUUUUGGCCCAACAUAGGUCCGACGAUAUUCCUGAAGGUGACCUAGAUGCCGUACUAAUUUCACGGUGUGCGGAUGGUAGCUUUUGGACUCAUUUUCAUCAAAAUAAUAUGUCCGAGCGUGUACAAAAAAUCCUACACCGAAUAGAAUUUUAUGGAGUCUACAGGUGCGGAUGCCUUCAAUUAAAUCAACACCUCAUCACUGCAUUAAUGGAGAGGUGGCGAUCGAAGAUGCACACUUUUUAUUUUCGUGUAGGAAAAGCCACAAUUACCCUACAAGAUAUUCAAAUAAUAUGGGCACUCCCAAUAGACGGCGAGCCGGUGACUGGAAUUGAUCUCGACCGCACAACACAACAAUGACAGGAAUAUUGCCUUACUUACAUAGGCUUUAGCCCGGAUGCAAAUGCGUUGAGGGGCUCGAGACUAUAGACAUCCGCAAUUACAUCUCAUUUGGCGCUGUCGAGAUCACUUAUAACACUCCCCACGAUAUCGUCGUCCAAUACGCACGUGCCGUUGCAUUACUUCUAUUUGGGGGUUUGAUGUGCCCAGAUUCCUCAAGUAACUAUGUCUCAUUACUUUAUCUUUCAAAAUUAGAAGAUAUAUAAACCGCGAGGAACUAUAGUUGGGAGUGUUGUGCUGGCAUUUUUAUAUCGUGAAUUAUGCAAUGCCAGCACAAAAAGCAAAGCGGCAAUUGGUGGGACGCUGCAAUUGCUACAGGUAAAAUUGACUUAAAAAUUCUUACACAUUUUUUUGGCUAUUAAUAUUCAUUAAUAACACAUAUUUGUAUUGUUCGUGCAAAUUUGGGCAUGGUUACGGAUUACGCCACUUUGUCGUGAACUUGGUGCCCAACGACUAUUUAUGGGCCAAAUCCAAAUGCAUAACAAUCGCUGGCUCCCAGCAGCACCAUAUGGUGCUACUUGGAAUUGUCAGCACACUUGCACCAGCACAGUACGGGGAACUGUCCGAGUCAUACGAGAAAUUCUGGAUGAGAUGCAGGCGGAUCAGUUCAUAUGGCAGCCGUAUGACAUGGACUCGGAUGUCAUUAUGGCUUACGCCGAUGAAUUGAACCCCCAGUUGUGGAGGUCAUCCAUUCUAUUGAUAUUCUACGCAAUAAUUGAAAUGCAUCGUCCCGAACGGGUUGUUCGUCAAUUCGAGAUGAGGCAAAAUGUACCAAAAUCGACGGAUACCCGGGAUAUGAGCCUCCAUCAGAUUUUUCGUAAAAAUCACGCGCGCAGAUUGGUACCUGCAAUACAUACAAUAUAUCACUAGAUGGCAAAGAUGAUAUGACAUGGUUGUACAUAGGCCUCCCAUUUUCGAUAGAAGGGAAACAGAACGAGGUUAUUGGGAAUGGUACUACAACAUAACAAGAAAUUUCGUAUCGUCAUCUACCGAUAGACGUGCGGAAAGCGGGUACCAACCUGGAGAAGCACAUCUGUUGCAAGCAAAUGAGGUGAAUGCCCUUGAAACUUUAUGUCGAUCUAGACCAUCAAAUAUUGAAGGAUAUAGUCAAUUGGUGGAUAGAUUUGAACAUAGGUUACAUAUUAUCAAGGAAGCUAUAACCCAACAGCCACAACAAAUUGCUUCUCCAUCCGAUGAUGCUCCCACAACAUCCUACAGGCAAA
Sesamum indicum (sesame) is the source of this 2049-nucleotide RNA transcript. RefSeq lists it as uncharacterized. Lineage: Eukaryota; Viridiplantae; Streptophyta; Magnoliopsida; Lamiales; Pedaliaceae. The record is from RefSeq and is a predicted model, not a curated record.